This 702-nucleotide ribosomal RNA is filed under the name uncultured Lachnospiraceae bacterium. RNAcentral describes it as "bacterial SSU rRNA". It matches the Rfam family "Bacterial small subunit ribosomal RNA", at positions 28 to 730 of the family's 1533-position model. Lineage: Bacteria; Bacillati; Bacillota; Clostridia; Lachnospirales; Lachnospiraceae. The record is from RNAcentral.
GAUGAACGCUGGCGGCGUGCCUAACACAUGCAAGUCGAGCGAAGCGCUGUUUUCAGAAUCUUCGGAGGAAGAGGACAGCGACUGAGCGGCGGACGGGUGAGUAACGCGUGGGCAACCUGCCUCAUACAGGGGGAUAACAGUUAGAAAUGACUGCUAAUACCGCAUAAGCGCACAGGACCGCAUGGUGUAGUGUGAAAAACUCCGGUGGUAUGAGAUGGACCCGCGUCUGAUUAGGUAGUUGGUGGGGUAAAGGCCUACCAAGCCGACGAUCAGUAGCCGACCUGAGAGGGUGACCGGCCACAUUGGGACUGAGACACGGCCCAAACUCCUACGGGAGGCAGCAGUGGGGAAUAUUGCACAAUGGGGGAAACCCUGAUGCAGCGACGCCGCGUGAAGGAAGAAGUAUUUCGGUAUGUAAACUUCUAUCAGCAGGGAAGAAAAUGACGGUACCUGAGUAAGAAGCACCGGCUAAAUACGUGCCAGCAGCCGCGGUAAUACGUAUGGUGCAAGCGUUAUCCGGAUUUACUGGGUGUAAAGGGAGCGUAGACGGAUAGGCAAGUCUGGAGUGAAAACCCAGGGCUCAACCCUGGGACUGCUUUGGAAACUGCAGAUCUGGAGUGCCGGAGAGGUAAGCGGAAUUCCUAGUGUAGCGGUGAAAUGCGUAGAUAUUAGGAGGAACACCAGUGGCGAAGGCGGCUUACU